GGGAGGCAGCAGUGGGGAAUAUUGCACAAUGGGGGAAACCCUGAUGCAGCGACGCCGCGUGAGCGAAGAAGUAUUUCGGUAUGUAAAGCUCUAUCAGCAGGGAAGAAAUGACGGUACCUGACUAAGAAGCACCGGCAAAUACGUGCCAGCAGCCGCGGUAAUACGUAUGGUGCAAGCGUUAUCCGGAUUUACUGGGUGUAAAGGGAGCGCAGGCGGUACGGCAAGUCUGAUGUGAAAUCCCGGGGCUCAACCCCGGUACUGCAUUGGAAACUGUCGGACUAGAGUGUCGGAGGGGUAAGUGGAAUUCCUAGUGUAGCGGUGAAAUGCGUAGAUAUUAGGAGGAACACCAGUGGCGAAGGCGGCUUACUGGAC
Molecule: ribosomal RNA, 372 nt
Filed under: uncultured bacterium
Lineage: Bacteria
Description: bacterial SSU rRNA
Rfam family: Bacterial small subunit ribosomal RNA
Source: RNAcentral